AGUUCGAUUAUGGCUCAGAUUGAACGCUGGCGGGAUGCUUUGCAUACAUGCAAGUCGAACGGCAGCACGGACUUCGGUCUGGUGGCGAGUGGCGAACGGUGAGUAAUGUAUCGGAACGUGCCUAUAUGGGGAUAACUACGAAAGGGUAGCUAAUACCGCAUACCGCCCUUCGGGGGAAAGCGGGGACCUCGGGCCUCGCACUAUUAGAGCACGAUAAUGGAUUAGCUAGUUGGUGGGGUAACGGUCACCGGCUAUGACGAUCCGCAUGGUUUGAGAGGACGACCAGCCACACUGGGACUGAGACACGGCCCAGACUCCUACGGGAGGCAGUGGCGGGGAAUUUUGACAAUGGGGAACUUGAUCCACACCUAUGAUGAAGGCCUUCGGGUUGUAAAGCACUCUUGGCAGGAAAGAAACGGCACGGGAUAACACCCUGUGCAACUGACGGUACCCUGCAGAAUAAGCACCACAACUACGCUGGCAGCCGCGGUAAUACGAAAGGGGCAAGACCGACCACCGGGGCGAAGGCGCAGGCGGUUCGGAAAGAAAGAUGCGGAAACCUGAGCUAACUGGGAACUGCAUUUUUAACUACUGAGCUAGAGGCAUUAGAGGGAGGUGGAAUUCGCGUGUAGCAGUGAAAUGCGUAGACAUGUGAGAACACCGAUGGCGAAGGCAGCCUCCUGGGAUAACACUGACGCCUUAUGCACGAAAGCGUGGGGAGCAAACAGAUUAGAUACCCUGGUAGUCCACGCCCUAAACGAUGUCAACUAGCUGCUGGGGCUCUUCGGCCUUAGUAGCGCAGCUAAUCGCGUGAAGUUGGACUGCCUGGGGAGUACGUAUCGUGAUUAAAACUCAAAGGAAUUGACGGGGACCGGCUGGUGGAUGAUGGGAUUAAUCGAUGCAACGCGGCGUAAACUCACUCACUCCUUGACAUGUUCAAACUCAAGAGAUUUGUAUGGUCGCAGAGAACUGAAAUACAGGUGCUGCAUGGUUGUCGUCAGCCUGUGUCGAGAUGUUGCUGAGUCCCGCAACGAGCGCAACCCUUGUCAUUAGUUACACAGCGGCAAUUUGAGACUGCUGCACAAACCGGAUAGUGAUGACGUCAUCCUCAUGGCCCUUAUGGUAGCUUCACACGCUAUACAAUGUCAAUAGAGGGUCGCUAACCCGCGCAGGGGAGCCAAUCCCAGAAACCCGAUCGUAGUCCGGAUCGCAGUCUGCAACUCGGAUCGCGUGAAGUCGGAAUCGCCAGCACCUGCGAUCAGAAUGUGAAUACGUUCUCCGGGUCUUGCACACACCGGCCCGCCACCAUGGGAGUGGGUUUUACCAGAGCAGUUAGCCUAACUUUACAGGCGAUUACCACGGAUUCAUGACUGGGGUGUUUUUAACAUCCGUAACCUUUGGGUAGGUAUUACCUGAUGCUCCCA
RNAcentral lists this ribosomal RNA (1424 nucleotides) under uncultured Bordetella sp. RNAcentral's name for it is "partial 16S-23S ribosomal RNA intergenic spacer". It matches the Rfam family "Bacterial small subunit ribosomal RNA". Lineage: Bacteria; Pseudomonadati; Pseudomonadota; Betaproteobacteria; Burkholderiales; Alcaligenaceae. The record is from RNAcentral.